RNAcentral lists this ribosomal RNA (849 nucleotides) under uncultured bacterium. Its description in RNAcentral is "bacterial SSU rRNA". It matches the Rfam family "Bacterial small subunit ribosomal RNA", at positions 96 to 953 of the family's 1533-position model. The record is from RNAcentral.
UGGCGUCCGGGUGAGUAACACGUAGGUGACCUGCCCCGAAGUGGGGGACAACCACUGGAAACGGUGGCUAAUACCGCAUGGGGUGCGGCAUUCGUUUGCCGCAUUAAAGGUGGGGGGCAACCUCUGUCGCUUCGGGAGGGGCCUGCGGCCGAUUAGCUAGUUGGUGGGGUAAAGGCUCACCAAGGCGACGAUCGGUAGCUGGUCUGAGAGGGCGAUCAGCCACACUGGCACUGACAGACGGGCCAGACUCUUACGGGAGGCAGCAAGGAGGAAUAUUGCGCAAUGGGCGAAAGCCUGACGCAGCAACGCCGCGUGGGUGAUGAAGGCCUUCGGGUCGUAAAGCCCUUUUCUGGGGGAAGAGGAAGGACGGUACCUCAGGAAUAAGCCUCGGCGAACUACGUGCCAGCAGCCGCGGUAAAACGUAGGAGGCGAGCGUUAUCCGGAUUUAUUGGGCGUAAAGGGCGUUUAGGCGGUGCUCUAAGUUGGGCGUGAAAUCCUCCGGCUUAACUGGAGGGGGUCGUCCAAUACUGGAGCACUUGAGGGCAGGAGAGGAAGGUGGAAUUCCCGGUGUAGCGGUAAAAUGCGUAGAUAUCGGGAGGAACACCAGUGGCGAAAGCGGCCUUCUGGCCUGACCCUGACGCUGAAGCGCGAAAGCGUGGGGAGCGAACGGGAUUAGAUACCCCGGUAGUCCACGCCCUAAACGAUGGAUACUGGGUGUUGGUGGCGUUGACCCCAUCAGUACCGAAGCUAACGCGUUAAGUAUCCCGCCUGGGGACUACGGCCGCAAGGUUAAAACUCAAAGGAAUUGACGGGGGCCCGCACAAGCAGCGGAGCGUGUGGUUCAAUUCG